GAUGAAGAACGCAGCGAAAUGCGAUAAGUAGUGUGAAUUGCAGAAUUCAGUGAAUCAUCGAAUCUUUGAACGCACAUUGCGCCCCUUGGUAUUCCAUGGGGCAUGCCUGUUCGAGCGUCAUUUGUACCUUCAAGCUUUGCUUGGUAUUGGGCAACGCGGUCCGCCGCGUGCCUCAAAUCGACCGGCUGGGUCUUCUGUCCCCUAAGCGUUGUGGAAACUAUUCGCUAAAGGGUGUUCGGGAGGCUACGCCGUAAAACAACCCCAUUUCUAAGGUUGACCUCGGAUCAGGUAGGGAUACCCGCUGAACUUAAGCAUAUCAAUAAGCGGAGGA
Molecule: unclassified non-coding RNA, 331 nt
Filed under: soil metagenome
Description: partial contains 5.8S ribosomal RNA, internal transcribed spacer 2, and large subunit ribosomal RNA
Rfam family: 5.8S ribosomal RNA (bases 1-120)
Source: RNAcentral